This 497-nucleotide ribosomal RNA is filed under the name uncultured bacterium. RNAcentral's name for it is "partial 16S ribosomal RNA". It matches the Rfam family "Bacterial small subunit ribosomal RNA", at positions 28 to 507 of the family's 1533-position model. The record is from RNAcentral.
GAUGAACGCUGGCGGCGUGCCUAAUACACGCAAGUCGAGCGAACAGACGAGGAGCUUGCUCCUCUGACGUUAGCGGCGGACGGGUGAGUAACACGUGGAUAACCUACCUAUAAGACUGGGAUAACUUCGGGAAACCGGAGCUAAUACCGGAUAAUAUAUUGAACCGCAUGGUUCAAUAGUGAAAGACGGUUUUGCUGUCACUUAUAGAUGGAUCCGCGCCGCAUUAGCUAGUUGGUAAGGUAACGGCUUACCAAGGCAACGAUGCGUAGCCGACCUGAGAGGGUGAUCGGCCACACUGGAGCUGAGACACGGUCCAGACUCCUACGGGAGGCAGCAGUAGGGAAUCUUCCGCAAAGGGCGAAAGCCUGACGGAGCAACGCCGCGUGAGUGAUGAAGGUCUUCGGAUCGUAAAACUCUGUUAUUAGGGAAGAACAAAUGUGUAAGUAACUAUGCACGUCUUGACGGUACCUAAUCAGAAAGCCACGGCUAACUACGUG